This is a long non-coding RNA of Astatotilapia calliptera (eastern happy), 3101 nucleotides long. The record is from Ensembl. Lineage: Eukaryota; Metazoa; Chordata; Actinopteri; Cichliformes; Cichlidae.
GAGAAAGAGCAUGUGAGGUCGUGACACACACACAUAGAGUUAAAUUUAUUUAGAGGAACCGUCCUUGUUGUCUCGGCAAGAAAGAGGAACAAUUCAUUUUAAGAUAAGAACGGAAAGUACCAAGCCAUGAAAAUAGAAGAUGAUUUUCUAGGGGAAAAGUCAUGAAGAUGUUGAUCUGAUCUAUGUAUAAAAUGUGUCUGUGACGUAUGAAGGGGCGUCAGUAAACAAACCCUGAUGCUAUAAAAUAUCUGUUCAUGCUUUGAUUAAGUCGAAGACUACUUCCUGUCUGCGUACAGAGUUCUCUUCCCACGCGUGUAUUCAUUAAAAUCAUCGUUUGACUUCACCCGGCCGGAUCGGUGUGGUUAUUCUUCGAUCACCUCUUGUACCCUUCCUCAAUAUUGAAUCUUAACAUUUGGGGGCUUCGUCCGGUUAUUGAGGAAGGAGAGUUGGAGGUUUGGACGGAGAAAUCCGGGGUCUUAGGUGGUCUGACGGGCAGACAUGAAUUCCAGUGGUCUAAGUGAGUGGGCAUAAGCCGGCUUAUCCAAAAGGUAAGGCACUACCUGUUGAAUUAUUUCCAAAGUGUGCCAAAUUGGACAUGAUAAAAUUUAAGUCUACUCACUGAAGUUACUGGUGGAUGUCUGUUUUGAUUUUGAUGAAAAUCUCAUGAGUUGAAGCAGUUAGAGUUCUGCUAUGAAGAAAUGAAAGUAGUUAAGAGUCUGAUAAGAAAAGUUUAAAUACUGGGUUGAAGUCCCAAAGAAAUUGAGUUAGAGUCUCAAGUAGUUUGGUAGGGAAUUGGUUAUUGUGUUGGUUAGAGUCCAAAUUUGGUCAUAAGAGUGGACCUGAGUGGUCAUUUUGUGAGUUGGAGUCUCCAUUGACCACUAGGUUGCACCUGCCUCAGUUAUACACUUGUUUCGGGUGUUGAUUGUUGUUUCAAAAUAUUAUAAAUUAUUCUAGAACGGCAGUUCGAGUCUGCUAGGAAGCGCAGAGCCCGGAGGUUACGCUCCCUCCUUGUCGUGGACGCGCGACAUUGACCUCUCGGCGAAGAGGGUUAGUUCAGUGUGGUUUAGCUGUGGGGUACAGGGCAGCCUGGAAUUAAACUAGGAGUUAGAGUCUCCUUACCGUUUGAAACGGUAUCUGCGCUUUUUUGGACAGGAGAAGUUGGUCUUCGGGCGUGUAACUUUAACUUAACACUUCGAGGUAAGCCUUGGCUGUGAAAUGCCAAAAAUAGAGCUUCAGGCAAAGUUUGGGUUGGUUGACGCUUUUAAAUUGAGUUAGGGAUUUUAGAAAUGAGGCCAGAAACAGUUAAAGUCUUGAUACUGGUUAAUUAGUGGGCGGUUAUUUUAAAUUUGUCGAAAUUGGUUAGGCGCUAAAGCUGACAGAUCUGACAGUAGUUGUAAAUAUAAGACGUCGUUGUAAUAUAGAAUAAUAAAAUUUGGUGUGAGAGAUCUCUGUGUGUCGAGUCAGUAAUGCACUGACUGCCUGCUGCUAUUUUUGGAGGUGUGUGUGUGAGUGAAAAUGCAAAUGAGUAAGCAGUGAACUGUUUAAGCCACAGUUGGUUUUACAAAUACUGCUGCAAACAUUGUUGAGUGUGUGUUUCAAAUGCCAUUUAUGUUUAGUAAAGGACUAUAAAUAAAGUUUUGAGUUGCCGUAGGGGAUGCAUAGUAACUGACUGAGUUUGGAUGUAGAUAUAUAAAUAGAUUGAGUGCACUGUAUAUACUUAAGACUAACACAUCACUUUCAGUAGUAACUUUUCUCCAGCAUUAGUUGCUGGUGGGUUUUAUUUUUUCAAUUUCUUGUGUGUGCGGUGAGAAUUAAUGGAGGUUUUAAAAUGAAGUUAGUGUUAACACAUAGGAGUUGUUUCAAGGCAGCAUUUAGCUAUGAUGAAAUGUAUACAGGAGUAAUUGCUUAUAUGCUUAAACUUAAUUGAUUAAAGUGGUUGUUUUCUUUUGGAGUAGAUUAACUUGCAGCAGCGACAACUUGUGCACAGGAUGUUGAUGAUCAGAUAAGGGAAAAUAGAGCGAGCAAUCGGACGUGAAAGCAGGGCUUAAAGAGUUCUAAAGGGAUGAGUAACGUUGAAGAAUAUACAUAAAUACAAGACAAUAAGUUAAGAGCAUAAUUAGGAUCAUGCUUUUGAUUAAAGAGUCCCAGAUAGGAUAAGUUAGGGAGAUGCAAGAAAAGGUGUUUUGUUUCCUUUGCAGAAGAUCUCGGCGACCACAGGAGGGGCGAGGAUCCUGGAGAUCUCGAGGUUCGAGACCACCAGAGAGGGGUCUGCGUGAGGACACAAUGUAUUGUGACCUCUGGUGUUCCAGAGGUCAAAAGGGGGAGUGUCGAGGAGGGAAAUUAUUUUACUGCUAUUGUUAAAUAAUUGUCAUUGCAUUAAUAAUAUAAUCUGCAGCAUGGAUAUUGCAUUCCAAGGUUUAAACAGUGUCUCUUUCAGAAAGACUGAGUUGCAGGCUGACAGGAAGUUGUAUGCAGAAGUGAAACCAGGAAGUUAUUUUGAGCCGCAGGCUAAGACGAGGCUUUAACAAUGUAACAGAUAGCUUUAAGAAGGCCUUAAGAUCAGAUCAUUUUAUAUUAAGGUUUUAGUAGAGGUUCUUGAUUAAAACAUUUAUUUAGUAGAAGACAUACACAUAGUCUCAGUGAGCUUCUGGUCUGGUAAAAGGUCAGAAGUGCAACAGGUGAAUUGAGAAAGAGCAUGUGAGGUCGUGACACACACACAUAGAGUUAAAUUUAUUUAGAGGAACCGUCCUUGUUGUCUCGGCAAGAAAGAGGAACAAUUCAUUUUAAGAUAAGAACGGAAAGUACCAAGCCAUGAAAAUAGAAGAUGAUUUUCUAGGGGAAAAGUCAUGAAGAUGUUGAUCUGAUCUAUGUAUAAAAUGUGUCUGUGACGUAUGAAGGGGCGUCAGUAAACAAACCCUGAUGCUAUAAAAUAUCUGUUCAUGCUUUGAUUAAGUCGAAGACUACUUCCUGUCUGCGUACAGAGUUCUCUUCCCACGCGUGUAUUCAUUAAAAUCAUCGUUUGACUUCACCCGGCCGGAUCGGUGUGGUUAUUCUUCGAUCACCUCUUGUACCCUUCCUCAAUAUUGAAUCUUAACAGAAGC